CUGUGUAUUAAGUAAUCUUUUCUUUCACUGAAUGCCAAGAGAGGACGACAAAGUUAGGGGAGAACUUGUAGAAAGAUGGGUCUUCUGCUACAAGGCCUAGGAAAAUAGGCCUUGAGUUUAAACACAUCAUUACAUUAAAUUCAUAGGUUCCACGUAACUAUUUUGCUCAUAUAGUAAGAAUUAUAAUUGGGAUUUCUUUAAGGUACACUUAGAUCUUUAUAGAAUAUGUAUGAUCAACUUGGUAAGUUUUUAAAUUUUCUUCUACAGGAUUCACAAGACAGUGAUGAUGAAAGUGAGUAUAUUGGGGGUUUUGUUUGUUUUUUAAUGUUUCUGCUGCAGUUAUCCCCACUGAGACCCAACUUUGAAAGCAGAUACCACAUAUAUUUUCUUUUUAGACACUAGGACAAUUUAAAAGAGUACAGGCUAGGUAAAAAUCCUAACCACCACUAGGUAAAGAAGAGGGAAAAUACUUUUAUUACUAUUUUAUGUUUUAGCUACAUAAUGUGUCUGCACUGUAUACCUGGUGCUUGGGAGGACAGAAGAUGCUAUUAGAGCCCCUGAAACUGGAGUAUAGCCACUUAUGAGCAGCCAUGUAGGUGCUGGGAAUUGAGCCUGGGUUCCCUAGCAUAGUAACCAGAGCUUUUAACCUCUCUAGCCUCAAAUUAGGCAUAGACUAGAAUUUGCUUAUUAAGAAAGGAGAGGGCAUUUCCAGGGAUCGAAAUGGGCUAGUGAACUAAGAACCAAAAAAGUCCUGUUACAUUCUUAGAAAGGGUUUAUUCUCUAAGAUGCAUGUUCAGUUUAUGCGUGUUCACAGGUGAUUGCUAGGGAGCUCUCAGUUUUGUUGUCUUCAUUUACAAAUGUUAGAGUAUUGUAGUUCUCUUGUCGUCCUUGCUGAUUGUUUUUAAAAUUCUUUCAGAAAUGCCAGAUCUGGAGUAAAGAGUGGUAUCAUCGCCUGGAUAUUGAGGGGAAAAAAAAAAUAACUUCUGCAAGAUUUCAUAAUUGAGAAAAUCCCUGAGUUGAUAGCUCUAAAGGCAGAUAUGCUGUACUUGGCUCCUUUAACCCAUUUUUCAACUUUUUUUUUUUUAAGGCUUCACUAAGGGUUGAUUAUGUACCAUUGUAUGGGGCAAUUUAAGUCAGCUAAGGCAAUAUCCGUAUGCAUGAACAUUUCCCAGAAUUCCAUGAAGCAGUUGAGGUCCUAGGCAACUGCUACAGCAGCUCUGAUGAAUAACUGCAUCUCAUCUAAGUCUUCUUUUGUCAUAAUACACUUAACUUCUCCAUUAAGAAAGUUCUCAGCUUAGGGAAAGAUAAAGGUUUUAGAUCCUAGAUAAUGGGCUUGAAGGAGGUGGAAACAAAUUGGCUAAUAUCUUAAGCUGAUGCCCCGCCAUUCUUCCAGGAUACCUUUCAGAAUUAUUCCACUAAAGUUUAUUUUUCAAAAAAAUGUACUUUACAUCAUUGUUUGUGAUCACUUGUCAGUGUUCAGGUGUAUUUUAGCUAAGACUAGUGGAUGCCCUAACUUAGAUGGUUUUUGAAGCCUAUACCUUUGGUAUUGUUUGGCCCUUAAGCUUUUACAUCUCUUAGCAUGGAGGACAAAGAAAGCUGUACAUUGUUGCUUGAGAAUAUGUACAUUUUAGACCAGAUUUGUACUUGCACUGUCAGUAUGGCAAAUGAGUGGAAAAUGUUAAUACACUAUUGGAUUUUUUAUUUCCUGUUUUGAUUUCAGCUUAUGCCCUGGCUGGAAAACCUCAAUUUAUGUUCAUGACAGUGGGGAUUUUUUUAAAUGUCUACAUUCUUUCUAAUAAACUGUUGGAAGAUUUCUUGGCUGUCCUUUUAAGUGUCCGUUUGCUCUAAUUUCAUGUAUUUACCCUUUACUGGAAUGGAGUUUGUUUUUUGAGGGAAAUUUGGGGCUGGUCCUAUUUGAGCAGAGGCUUGCUGUACUGUCCCAGGAACCCUGUACAGUGCGACUGUAAUGGGAGGCUGUGGGUGCACUUUGCAGGCAGCUGGACAAGUACUGUGACUCGAUUGAAAUAAAACUGAAUGUGUUGUCCUCCUGUACAUUUUUCACUCCUGCAUUUUAGCAGUGUCGCUCUUUGAUGGCUUCUGAAAUCUGUCCAGCCUGAAGUGUCAAAAAUAAAAAGCUUAGUAAUUUC
This 2147-nucleotide long non-coding RNA is filed under the name Rattus norvegicus (Norway rat). Its description in RNAcentral is "long non-coding RNA NONRATT025443". The record is from RNAcentral. Lineage: Eukaryota; Metazoa; Chordata; Mammalia; Rodentia; Muridae.